CGAUGCCGAUUCUUUUUAACUUUAAUUAGAGAAGAAAUAAAUAGUGAAUCAGUGGUAGAACGAGUGGUUAAUUUGCUUUUAUCUAAAUCAAAGAUCCGCGUAAAAUUAAAUUAUUAAACGUUUUACCGUAUCUUUUAUGCGUGUCGACGAAACGAAACAGAUGAAUCUCUUUUCUAGCAUUUCUUUUCUGCUACAUUGAUUAAUGGAAAGAUAGUCGUUAAUUUCAAAGAAGUAGCCCUCCUCGAGGACCUAUCGCGGCUGAGUAAUUUAAUUCGUAGCUUCUCCGAUCAGCUUUUCGAACGAAACUCGAAAGUAGGUUGACCGUUCCUUCGACGAAGAAAUGAAAUUAUUAUUUUAAUUUUCCCUAUCGCGAUUUCCCCGCGACCACCGAUAACUCGUAGUUAGUUUGAUCCGUUAUACGGCCAACUUCGUAAGAACGUACGUCGUUUCUACGAUAACGCGAUCCAGCUUCGACGAUAUAUUUCGAUAUAAUUGGACAUCAUGCGGACGCGUUAUCGUAUUAAAUUAUGCGAGUUAAGUAAAAUAUUACUUCGAAAUUAAUUACAGCUAAUUAAAGGAAUACAAAUAAAUUUCAACCACGAACGCGAAUUUCAAUUAAAUCGAAAUGUAUUCGUAGCAAGUAACCGUAUCAAUUGCUACGUAAUAAUUGUUUCGUUGUCGAUACCAGCAUCACGUUAAAAACGUGAUUCUACAGAUUUCUCGUUACGUAUAUGUUACAUGCAACUUUCUUCUCGUCGCUUCUUUUUAUCUCGAAUAAAACUAGGAAUAUUCGCGAUUACGCUCGUGAAUAUAAUCUGGAUAAUUAUUCAUAGCUCGUGUUGGUUAAUUGGAAACGAACUGUAGCUACGUAUCGUUACGUUUAUCGUUCAUUUGCUUCCUUUCUUCUUUUUUUACAUAUAAAGUUUUAAAAGGUUUUAACUUGCAGUCCCGUAAUUUAACAUCGAAGCGGAAACACUCCGAUCGUCUCGUAAUUUUGUUCGUGAAUCGAAAUUUGUCGAAAUAGCUACGUUGUAUAUUUCCGGUAUUAUCGAUUCAUACUACGAAACAGAUUCAAACGUAUAAAUUCAUGUUUCACGCGUUUAUCGCAUGAAAUGACAAAUGUAUAGCUCGUGAAUUACGAACGGCGGUAUGCUAAUUCGGGGCGAUAAACGUCAAUAGAGAUCUCUAGAAUUCGUAUCCUGUGAUUCCUACUAACGUUACCGGUGAAUAUCCAUCACCUGCAAUACCGGCAGCCAGAAUCGAUCGGUAGUGGUAAUAGUAAGUGAAACGCGAUCUAGAAACGCGCGAGCCUAAAUAUCGAUCACUCGUCAAGAAUGAUAACGAGGUUCGCUUAAUCGCCUCUCCGUUCAAUUAAAUCGUAGUUUCUCCAGUGCCAACGAUCGUAAUUGUUUCGCCGUUCGAUCAACGAUAAAGCUUAUUCACCAGAUUCCUAGUAUCAAAGGAGACAAGAGGGGAGAAAACGAUAGAAAGAGAGAGGAGAGACAGAUUCCAUUGCGAGAAUUCAAGCAGCGAAAGUGGCGUUAGUGCUCCGUAUUUAACGGAUCGUAUCACAUUCCACGUAUUUCGAGUAAAAUCAAUCGCGAGCUAUUGAACAUCUUAGUAGUUUCUAGAAUGUUAAGACACGUCUUCGUGCACAGAGACGUUGAUUUUCAUUUCGAUAUCGAGAAAAUGGGAAAGAUGAGAAAAUUAUUAUCGGGAAGCGAAACAGAGUAGGAGACGGUAGACUAGAAUUUUGUAGCACGAGUCGUCGAUGGUGUUACGAAAACGUUGUCGAAGUCCAAUACGCGAUGGAACGCGUCUUUCUUGCUUUUGAAACCGGCAGGAUGGUCCGUAGUAGUGUAUGCUCGAAUAGCUCGGUUCUCGAGAAGGCGGAUCAGACGACGUCCUAUCUACUUUGCGCUCUCGAUAUUACACUCGUAGGUGAAAGCUACGCGGAAAACGCGAAUCGAGAUCGGAAGAGGCGAGACUAGACGAGACGAGAUGAGACGAGACGCACGUACGAAUAUUCAGACUUUAGCUGCCUGCCUUCUUUACGAUCCAAGACCAAUCUCUGUCGCCAUUUAUGAGCGAAUGAUUUGCGAAAGUACGAAAUAUCGACUUCUUCUUCCCAAAAUUAUGUGUAAAUAUGUUCCAUUGGUGGACAAGAGUGCAAAUGUUAAGAAAAAUAUCUUGCUAAUCGGACAAAUCGUUUAGAUUUCUUUCGUCGUCCAAUUAUUCGUGUCAAAUACGUUUGAGAGAGUAUUACAAUUUUUGAAAAUAUAUUUCUCUAAAUGUUAAUAAACGAAAUAGAUAUCUUUAAAUAAAAAAAGAGGAACGAUCAAUUAUUAUUAUUUGGUCGAUUAUCGAAUCGAACACUUUCGUUGGAAUUCGACGCGAAAUAAUGGAAGCAAAAUAUCACAUCGAGUUCUACCUAUUGAGGAAAAAACAAACGUUCUCCAGCAAAAUCCGUAGAAUUCUACGAGAACGGAAAUUCAGCGGCUUCGUGAGUAUGAAUCUGAGGUGAAACCGAGGUCAUAUUCGAACAUAUCUCUUCUCAAUUUUGCCACCUCUAUCUUCCGUGUACCAUCUAUCUUUUUCUCCCAUUCAAAUCCAAAUUCCCCGUCCAAUCUCUCUAAAGACCAACUAAUAAAUUGGUUACGAAUCGCACGAUGCGUAAUUACAUUUGACCUUAUCGAAUGGAAUCUCGGAUAUAAAAUUUGAUCGGACGCGAUAUUUUUACCAAUUUUUAACAACACGCAUGUAUAUAGGGAGAAAUGAAAUAAACCGAACGGAGGAACGCGGGCAGAGAUGGCAUCGAUCUAUACAGUUUUGCCAAGGAAACGCGAUUCGCAUCCAAGUUGGAGGAUGCAAGAAGCAUCGAAGCGAGAGCAGAAGGAAGUUGCAUCGGACGCGAAAUACGAAUCGAUCAAGGAGAAGAGGGAGAUAGAUCUCGUCGUUGAAGCCGUCUACCAAGACGACACGUUUCACCAAAGGCUGUUAAGUCCGAAGGAAGGACGAGACCCUGGGGGAAAGAUUCUCGCCACUUUCGACUCGCCUUGCUCCGUUAUCCCCGUUUCCACCGAGGAGAUAACUCUUGCCCGAUUCCCCGCCAAGAAGACCGGUAAACGAUCGGACAAAGAAGCACGAGCGAGAAAAGAUAACGAUCCAACAUGCAUGUAGAAAAGGGUCCGUACCAAGGUUAUAAUCCUUGCGUUUCCCCGUCUUAUUACCAUGCUGCUGACUGACAGCAACGGGAAUAGAAGAGGCGGUGGAACGGCACGAGACGAGUCAGAAAUUACUCCUCGUUGGGAUAUCUAUGCGGAAACGGUGAAUUUCAGUAGCAACGGAUAGAAGAUACCUUGCCACGGGGUAGAGGUCACUCUCGCGUGAUGGCUAACGAGCUCGGUGAUCGUUGAAAGAGAAGUGGGGUAAAAGGAAGAAACGGCUGGCUCGAAACGCCAACGUUGCGGCUUCGACCCGUUGCCCGUUUCACCUCCAACAAUUUUACACCGCGCACUAGCAUCGUAUCCUGCGUUACUGGACUACCUGUUUAACGAACAAGUUUUUAUCUUUCCUAUGUUUAUUUACAAUGGUACCAUUUACUACUCGCUUCCCGAUGCACGUAAAACAGUUUUCAACCAUGUAAUCCGAAAUUCCAAUUGCUUGCACCGCUAUAAAAGAUAAAAUGGAAAAAGAACGAGGGAGGAGGAGAAGAAAGAAAUUUUAAUAUUUAAUAAGAGGAAAGAAGAAAAGAUUAUGGUGGCUGUGGGUCGUUCUUUGACAAGUGCGAAUAACUCUUUUUUUUCUCCAAGAUAAUGGUACGUGUAAUUUUACGCGCAGUGAAUACGAAUACGAAAUGUACUUAUUUGAUUAUACAGAUUCCGUGACAAUUAGCAAAUUGUUCGCUGCUAAUUUUCUACUUAAGGAUAAUUUCACGAAUUCCCGGCAAUUUUUCUUCUUUCUUAUUCGUGAAUACUUACUUUCAAUUCUAUCUAUAUAUAAAUUGUUCAAUGGUACGAAUAACUUUAACCCUCUUGAUACAUGCAUUUACGAAUGAUGUGUUUUCAGUUUUACUUUACAUCAUAGUUGAGAAAGGAAUCUGUCGAUUCCACAAGCGUAGGAAAACAGAUGUAUCCAAUCAUAAAAAGUCGCAACGAUACGAGAACGUAUUCGCCACUUGUUCGCGUCCAAGUGUACGGACACGUGUCGCGUUUCGAAGUUGGCAGUGGAGUGAAAAGUUGGUCUGCCAAAAAAACAGCAGAGGAAGAAAAGAUCCGUAACAAUCUCGCGGGAGUUGCGAAGCAAUUUUAUAUUGCGCGCAUUGGACGCAGUCGGCCGCCAGUUUCUUCGACUUCCACUUUCCACGAGGACGAUUUCCGGAAAGCACGUGGGCUACGAAGAAACCGGGUAGUUGGAUUCGGAGAAACUGCUUGGUACCCGCAACCAGUAUCCCCCUUUCCUAUUCCCUCGGAGAUUUUUUACCAGACCUCGCUUCUUCCUCUGUUUCUUCCCUAUCCGAAACACUUUUUUCUCAUUCUCGAGAUAAGGCAUCUCAAUUUCACCUAGUCUCUCUCUUUCUCUCUCUUCCUCUCUGUUUUCUUUUUUUUCAUUUUCUCAUUCUUACUUUUUUUUCAUAUAGAACCUCUCUAUCUUUCUAAAAGAGGAGAAUCUUCUCAACCCUUUAUACGAGCAAACCGCGUUACCAAGGCCAAUCUUUUCACAAAGUGCACAGACAUUUUUUAUUUACGCGAUCAAUUAUGUUAAGAGGAAACGAACGAGAAGAAAAAGCGGAACGCUCGUUCCUUCCUGUCCGUAUUAACAUGCGUUAUCCCCUGUUGCGAUAAAACAUUUUCUCCAGCGUUGCAUCAAAUCAAGUAUGCCGUAACGAUUGUUUUUCGAUGUUAAACCACUCUCGACCGAAAGUCGAGAUCUCUCGAAAAGUUUGAGAAACGGUACUUUCGCUGGAAGGAGCAUAUGCUCGUUAAAAAAGUAAAUUUUAAUAAUAGGAGACAAUUGCAGGCGAGUAGAGGGAGCGUACUUGAGGACGGCAGCCAAGUUUCAAGGAGUUGAAAAGAGUUUCGAGUGGAGCAAGUCGGACAUCCUUUUAACUGGCAGCAAAGUGGCGAGCUCCUUUUCUUUUUGAAUACACCCUUUGCCCUCUUAAAAAGUCGAGAAAUAGGAUCGAGAGGAGUAGUAGUAGUAGAUAUAACCCGAAACGCAAGAUUCGUCCAUCCGAGAAAGUAACAUUUGCCUCGUAAGAUCGAUCGACAAGAUGCUCUUUUGGAUUCAUCGAGUAGAAUAACUCGUCUAUUCUUUACCGUCAAUUAUCUAAAAUUACACGUACGAUCAUUCGCGCGCAAAUAGAAACGGACCAUGUUAAAAAGAGGUUGGAUGGCCUCUUUCGUUGCGACCGAAAGAAAUUCCGACUCAGUUUUCGAAAUUGGAUGAUUGCCAUUGACAAAAUCGCGAAAGACCGUUCGUCUUCUUCUUUUCAAAGUAAAUUGUCAAGUUCUUUUGCACUUUUCGUUUCAGCGUUUAUCAUCGCGACGAAAGACAGUAUUUAAAAAAUUAAGCAAAGUCUAAAAAUAAAGGCAACCUACACCACCUUUUUCUUUCGUGUCUGACAACGUCUUGGAAAUAAUAUUAAAGUGCAUUCCUAAGAGAAAAGCCGAAACAAACUGAAAUAUUCCUGUGACGGUAAACAAAGUUUGCGAAGAGGAAGAAGCAUUCUCGUUUUCCUCCUCUUCCAACCCUUGUAACUUUCUACGUGAUACGAAACGUGGUGGGAAAUAUUUCUGCUGACUUUGUGAUUUCGUACCACCUUAUAAUGACGCAUUACUAUGCGUAUUUUGAUAUUUCCAUCUCUAAUUCGAUGUUUCACGUUCAAUUUAUAUUUUAACGUUCAUAUUGAAUAGCUCGCUCUUUUCUAUAUCGUACGAAUGUAAAAAGAAUUUGCUUACGAGAUAUAUAUAUAUAUAUUUUACGUUUCUAUCGUCGAUAUUCUACGCGCAACACGUUAUUCCUGUCUUUUAAACAGGAUCAUUUGCAUAUAUCACUAGUUUUUAUAACGUUAUACGAGUGCGAUCUUUCGACCAUAUCAUUAAAACACGAAUAAUCGAUUAGAUACGUAAAUUAUAUUUAUCAUCUAUAUUUUCAAACGUUAAAAGAUAAAAAUAUUAUUGGGACAUUUAUUUUCUAAAAAAAUCUUGAUUCGAUCGGCAAUUCGAACGACAUAUAACAAGUUGAUUUUGAAAGAAAGUUUCGAUCACGGUUCUUCAAUUUUUCGAUUACGAAAACGAAUAACUUUUGUAUAUAUAUAUGAGCACAAUGAGCUUAGGUUGGGCUAGUUACAGACAGACGAAUAAUAUUUCUCCCCGUUGGUUAGGUCGGAAGGCGCGGUCUGGCGUGAAACUUUCUCGCUAAAUAAAAACUCAAAAUUCUGCCCCAUAAGUUUAGCGUGGGGAGGUCUGUUUACGGAAACCCUGACGCGGAAAAUGCAGAGGGUGCUUUGUACGUCUACGUUCGUAUAACGCGUUCUUCUCCGAGUCCGGCAUUAAAAUUAAUGGUCCACUGCGUUACUUCACCGGUAUGAUUUUUAAACGCGUCCUCCUUCCUUUUUCUUUUACUUUACAUCCCCCCUCCCUUUCUAUCGCAUCUUUUCGCCGCCAAAUUUUUCGAUCCAACGUAUUUACAAUAAAUUACCACUUUUGUCCACGAUCGUCCGUGAUAAAUUAAACUGUAUCCGUUACAAUUUAAAUGAAAACGUUUCUUCCGAAUUAUAUCUUAUAUCUUUGAUACUUGAUUAAUAAUAAUACUCGAAGUAAGAUAAUCUCAUUUUGAAUCGUCGCUGUACCGUUUGUCGGUUCACCAGAGCGUAGGGGAAUGAACAAUCGGGAAUAUCUGUUCUUUCGAUUCGAUCGAUUUUGCGUCGAAUACGAUUAUUCGUUCGAAUAAAUUUGUUCCUUUCCUUGCGCUUUUUUGACCGCAGUUUGACGAUCGUAAAAUAUUUCGUGUCGAGUCAUGCGAAACAGCGACACUCCAAAUAUGGAAAAUAUUAUCGGAACGAACGAUUCGUAAAAGUUCUUUUUUUACGCGUUCCGAUAUUUAAGAGAUCGAAACGCUUAAACUCGUUCGUGUAUACCUACGAUAUUUAACCGCAAAGUAUUUUCCGAUACUUAAAGAAGGCAAUGCAUACGAGAUUGGCGAUAAGCGAGACAGAGACGCUACUGCAUAUUGCAACGCGCAUCGUUGAAUCGUUCAUUGCCGAUGCAGAACGCGACGAUAAGAAGCGAGCCGUACAUCGACGACGAAUCCAUACGAAGCGAGGAUAACAUCUGCUUAGGAUUUUGCGCACGCGUGAUAAAACUUUGCCGCGACCUACUAAUUUCCUUUCGCUCUUUCUUUCCAAGCCAAGGGGAUAAAUUUCUCACGCGACUCCAAACAUUUGCGUCAUGUUUCCGUUCGUGUAAAUACCAACGAUAAAUCGUGCCCACUGUUAUUCCAACUUGUUCCUUAUGGUCGGUUGCCUUUGGCUAAUUUUUUUCUUCUUCUUCUUCUUCUUCGAAUUGCCGAGGGAAAGGAUCUCGUCGAGCGAGCUAUAAAACUGAGAAUACGAUUGGCAAAUGCCACAGAGAGAUGCGCGCGCAAAAUAUUCGAACGCGAUCUUUGAUCGCGGUGUUUCGAAUUUGUUCGCAUCAUAUACGCUCGCUGUAUGAGAAAAGAUAUCGAUUAAAUCUUGUUGAGAAAAAUAUUGAACGAUAGGCGCGAAAAUAAGUUGAAAAUAAAAUGUUUUUAUCGAUAUCUGUAACGUGACGUAACGUAACGUAGUCGCGAGCCGUGAUUGGAACGAGAGUGUGACAAAUAUAGAUGAUAUCGUAGAUCGAGGAUUGUCGUCGGCGAUAUGCAAAAUAAAAUUUCUAUCCGUCACAAAUCUAUAAAUUUAUUUUUUUUUUUCCCGCGUUUGGUCGCGUAUAAAAAACAAGCGUAUCGAUACAAUACACGUAGCGAUAUCAAAUCGGAGACAGUUGGAAGGUAUGACGUUCGAUAUCGCGCUUCAACGAACUUAUCGAAAAAUCGUCUUUGCAAAGGAUGCAUAAAAAAUAUUGAAAUUCAUCAAUCGCGCGCAGAAAGAGCGCUUACUUUAUGACUGGUGCACCUCGUAUGCUUCUUUUUCUUUUUUUUUACGAUCAAAUUUAUUGAACGCGAAAUCGAGGGCUUAUAGUUUCCACACGUUGCUCUCUUCCUCUCUUUCUCCUUUAUAUACGUUUUUUUCAAGACUUUUCAUAUGGUUCGCUUAUCGUCGAGUCGAAGAGGCUCGCGAUUUAUACCAUGAUUUUCUCUUUCCAUCCGAGAGAUACUAUACACCUUUCUUUUAUUAUUAUCCAUAUAAAUUCCAUUUUCGAACGGAAUGCUAUCUUUUUAAUAUAAAGUUAUACAACAA
Molecule: long non-coding RNA, 8440 nt
Organism: Apis mellifera (honey bee)
Lineage: Eukaryota; Metazoa; Arthropoda; Insecta; Hymenoptera; Apidae
Exons: 3
Source: RefSeq, a predicted model, not a curated record